This 519-nucleotide long non-coding RNA is filed under the name Anser brachyrhynchus (Pink-footed goose). Its description in RNAcentral is "lncRNA (ENSABRG00000005641.1)". Lineage: Eukaryota; Metazoa; Chordata; Aves; Anseriformes; Anatidae. The record is from RNAcentral.
AACUCCAAAUGUAAUGAAAUGAGAAAGUAUGUCUAAAGAAACAUAAGCUUUUAUCAGCAGUGAGAGUCACAUACUUUUUUCAUUAAUAUAUAUUCCUGCUUUUUUUUGUUUUCAGGUCAACACUUUUUCACCUUUUGCAUUCUGCUGAUCUUUUAAAAGAGAGCUCCACCAUGAAAGGCGAAUAGAAAGAGCUUUUCCAGGUAGUCCAUGGAAGUUCAUACUUCAGAGUUGAAGACUUUAAGCAGUGGAUGAUCAAAGCAGGGCUGGCUACAGAUGGAAACUCUGGGCUUGAAGUGUAGAUUUACCUAAGCACGUCCUCCACUGGGAGAAAUGAAUUGAUAAGAAGGCAGAGGCAGACGAACAGCACUCGCGCCAGUACCGACACCUCGAGGAAUGCGACUUGCAGCCAACCAGUCCUUAAGCAAGCCAAAAUUAUUAGGUAAAUAAUAUAUUCUGAGUAUUUUAUAUAUAUAUAAUUAUGCAAUACAUUAUAUAAAAUAAUAUAAUACACCAUGUAAU